AUGGGAAGAGGGAAGAUUGUGAUAAGAAGGAUCGAGAACUGUACAAGCAGGCAAGUGACUUUCUCAAAGAGGAGAAAAGGUUUGAUCAAGAAAGCCAAAGAGUUAGCGAUCCUUUGUGAUGCACAAGUUGGAGUUGUUAUAUUCUCCGCCACUGGAAAGCUUUACGAAUAUGCAAACACCAGGUAUAGUAAAGCCCCUGACCCUGAGUAG
Non-coding RNA from Vicia faba (fava bean), 210 nucleotides. The record is from the annotation of a GenBank genome assembly. Lineage: Eukaryota; Viridiplantae; Streptophyta; Magnoliopsida; Fabales; Fabaceae.